UACGGAGGGUGCAAGCGUUAUCCGGAUUCACUGGGUUUAAAGGGUGCGUAGGAGGGUAGGUAAGUCAGUGGUGAAAUCUUCGAGCUUAACUCGGAAACUGCCGUUGAUACUAUCUAUCUUGAAUACCGUGGAGGUGAGCGGAAUAUGUUAUGUAGCGGUGAAAUGCUUAGAUAUGACAUAGAACACCAAUUGCGAAGGCAGCUCGCUACACGAAUAUUGACUCUGAGGCACGAAAGCGUGGGGAUCAAACAGG
This 253-nucleotide ribosomal RNA is filed under the name uncultured bacterium. RNAcentral's name for it is "partial 16S ribosomal RNA". It matches the Rfam family "Bacterial small subunit ribosomal RNA", at positions 524 to 776 of the family's 1533-position model. The record is from RNAcentral.